This 253-nucleotide ribosomal RNA is filed under the name uncultured bacterium. Its description in RNAcentral is "partial 16S ribosomal RNA". It matches the Rfam family "Bacterial small subunit ribosomal RNA", at positions 524 to 776 of the family's 1533-position model. The record is from RNAcentral.
UACGAAGGGAGCUAGCGUUGUUCGGAAUCACUGGGCGUAAAGCGCACGUAGGCGGGCUUGUAAGUCAGGGGUGAAAUCCCGGGGCUCAACCUCGGAACUGCCUUUGAUACUGCUGAUCUCGAGUCCGGAAGAGGUGAGUGGAAUUCCUAGUGUAGAGGUGAAAUUCGUAGAUAUUAGGAAGAACACCAGUGGCGAAGGCGGCUCACUGGUCCGGUACUGACGCUGAGGUGCGAAAGCGUGGGGAGCAAACAGG